Molecule: ribosomal RNA, 598 nt
Filed under: uncultured bacterium
Lineage: Bacteria
Description: bacterial SSU rRNA
Rfam family: Bacterial small subunit ribosomal RNA
Source: RNAcentral
CGAACGCUGGCGGCAGGCCUAACACAUGCAAGUCGAGCGCCCAGCAAUGGGAGCGGCAGACGGGAUAGUAACACGUGGGAACGUACCCUUCAGUUCGGAACAACCAAGGGAAACUUUGGCUAAUACCGGAUACGUCCGUAAGGAGAAAGAUUUAUCGCUGAAGGAUCGGCCCGCGUCUGAUUAGCUUGUUGGUGAGGUAACGGCUCACCAAGGCGACGAUCAGUAGCUGGUCUGAGAGGAUGAUCAGCAUCACUGGGACUGAGACACGGCCCAGACUCCUACGGGAGGCAGCAGUGGGGAAUAUUGGACAAUGGGCGCAAGCCUGAUCCAGCCAUGCCGCGUGGAUGAUGAAGGCCCUAGGGUUGUAAAGUCCUUUCGACGGGGAAGAUAAUGACGGUACCCGUAGAAGAAGCCCCGGCUAACUUCGUGCCAGCAGCCGCGGUAAUACGAAGGGGGCUAGCGUUGCUCGGAAUCACUGGGCGUAAAGCGCACGUAGGCGGCUUUUUAAGCCAGGGGUGAAAUCCUGGAGCUCAACUCCAGAACUGCCUUUGAUACUGAGAAGCUUGAGUCCGGGAGAGGUGAGUGGAACUGCGAGUGU